This is a long non-coding RNA of Penaeus indicus, 1733 nucleotides long. RefSeq lists it as uncharacterized. NCBI's taxonomy places the organism in Eukaryota, Metazoa, Arthropoda, Malacostraca, Decapoda, Penaeidae. The transcript is spliced from 2 exons. The record is from RefSeq and is a predicted model, not a curated record.
CAGGCGGGUAAAUUGAAUGAGGAGUAUGCAGCCCCCCCAAGUGCUAGUGAGUUGCCACCCCCAGAGCUUUUCACACAAAUGCAUCCUCAGGAGCAAAUGGCAGCCCAAGUAUCUACACCCGAUAAUUGUAACCAGACCUCAAGCAGUGUAAUCUGUGAAGAGGCCGAUGACACGUGGUCCAGCUGUAACAGUGAUGCCGACAAAGGUGAAGUUAACACCACCUCCACACCAAUGGCACCAAAACUUCGCACAAAGCGACGUUUAGCAGCACAAUUUGCAGCAAACUGAUCAAGGAAUUUUCCAAUAAAGUACAGCAUUGUGUUCAUCACAAUAGCCUAGUUCCAUAAGUACUGGUUUAGGUGAUUUUGUGCAAUAAUUUUUGAGGUUUUGUAAAGUAUUAGUGUCCGUCCAUAGACCAUGUUCAGUAUCAAUUCCUAUGACAUCUCAGUUAUGUGAACUGAUGCAUUUCUUAUUUAACUUGUUGGUUAAUUUUUCUUUGUAUUGUUGAAUUUUUUCUAGAUAUAUCUAGAUUUAAAGCAUUCUAUAAUUUAAAUGAAGAGAAAUUUUAAAAGUCUCUUGGCUAUUUACCACGUUGAUUAUGGUGCGACUUUACAUAAAAUUAUUUAAUCAUUCCAUGAAUGGGCGGUUAUUAUCAUAAACAUAGUUGUUGUCAAAGAUAGACCAGGAAGGAAGGGGGAUUUAAUAUUACAUAAUGUUUUGUCACUGUUGAUCAGUAUAUCAAGAUUUCUUAAAAGUGCAAAUGUUUACAUAUUUAGAUUUAGCAAAUGUCAAUUUGCAGUUUCAGCCAAUGUAAACCUGUAAACGAAAGAAAAACAUAGUACAAAUGGUUGGACAAAGAUGUGUUAAUUUCUUGUUCCAAAUGUACAAAUACAGAAGAUGAACUUACCAUAUGCUGUUGUUUAUUGGGCAUUUUGAAGGCAGCAUUAUUUGAAAUAGCACAGGAAGUAUUCUUCAAAAAUGUUUCUAUGAUCUAUUAAAGAUUGUUGUGUUUGAAGCUUGUUGGUCAUUUUUUUCUAGUUUUGAGAAUUGAAGAUUCCCAUAUAAGGUUAACAACUAAUUUCGGACUAGGUGAAAAAUGGAAGGGAAGUUGAGCCGAGGCAGUUUAGUUUUUUCCUCAAAGCUGGGGUCUAUUGUGAUGUAGAAUAAUUUCAUUCUAUUGAUGUAAGUUUAGAAGCACUUGUGAAGUAACUUCCUUAAUGUUCUUGUUUUUUUGAUACAACUUUUUAUAUAUUUGAAAAGUAUUGUGAGUUGUUGAUCAACAAGCUUCCAUCAGUUUUGUUCCUAAGUAGGAGUAAAAAUGCCUCAUUUUUUUAUGACAUUUCGUUAAUCUUGUAUGGUUAUUCUUAUGAAUACAACUACAAAUACCAUUUUACUUGUCUUGACAUAGCCUGACAUGCUAGUUUUGGGUUACCGGUACAAUAUUUCUGCUGUAUUAUAGCAUUAUAGUAUAUAGCAUUCAAGAGUUUGAGAAUGCAAGAUUGCAUAUUUCUGUGCUGAAAAUGUUAUGAUUAGCUUAAUCACAACAUCUAGUCUGUUAUUUAUUUUGAUAUUUAAGUCUGAUAGCAGACUGUACAAAAAUGCAUCAGCAGCUGUUAUAAGCCAACAAGUUUGUCAGGGUUUUGUCAAGCUUUUGUCAGUGUUGGUAAUGGGGUUCUCAGUGUUACACUGAAACAUUCCUUGUUGUGGAAGUUGAAAUAAAUGUUUAUUAUAAA